UCAAGUUUGUCCAGUAUUUUUGUUGAAACCAUCUGGCAACCCUCAGUGUAAGAAGAUUAUAGGGAAAACUUCCCCUGAACAGUGGUUUAGUAAGCAUUCUGUUUCCUUCGGUCCAAACAAGGCUUAACAGAGAAAGUUACAGCUGCAGCCUAUGAAUGAUGCUUCUGGGACUCUCUUACCACACCUUAAUGGGACUGAAAGUGCAGUGCAAAAAGGACAGCAAUGGAGGAGAAACUGGACAAGGGACUGUAGUCAAAGGAUAAUGUUUGUGGAUAACAUCAUCCAAAAGGAAAGCCAAAACCAUCAGGAUGGCAGCUAUUGUUAAGUGGGUGACUUAUUGGGAAUAAAUGCAGAGGAAUGAAG
Molecule: non-coding RNA, 363 nt
Organism: Pelodiscus sinensis (Chinese soft-shelled turtle)
Lineage: Eukaryota; Metazoa; Chordata; Testudines; Trionychidae
Source: RefSeq, a predicted model, not a curated record